Molecule: small nucleolar RNA, 138 nt
Organism: Ornithorhynchus anatinus (platypus)
Lineage: Eukaryota; Metazoa; Chordata; Mammalia; Monotremata; Ornithorhynchidae
Source: RefSeq, a predicted model, not a curated record
AUCCUCUCAGGGUUGUACCUGGAGAGGUCCCAGUACUCCACCAGUCUCGACUACGAGAGGGAGAGUCAAGCAGAGGCCUACCUGUUCCAUUCCUAGCUUGGGCAGUGGCUAGCAAGUGGAAGGCAAUCUGCUACAAGU